Molecule: unclassified non-coding RNA, 386 nt
Filed under: uncultured Phycisphaeraceae bacterium
Lineage: Bacteria; Pseudomonadati; Planctomycetota; Phycisphaerae; Phycisphaerales; Phycisphaeraceae
Description: contains 16S-23S intergenic spacer region
Source: RNAcentral
UCCGGUUUGACACCGGCAGUCCCGCUAGAGUGCCCGGCAUGACCCGUUGGCAACUAGAGGCAGGGGUUUCGCUCGUUAGAGGACUUAACCCGACACUUCACAGCACGAGCUGACGACAGCCAUGCAGCACCUGUGCACGUUCCACUCUUGCGAGUGUGGCCCCGCUUUCACGGGGUUAAUCCGUGCAUGUCAAGCCUUGGAUAAGGUUCUUCGCGUUGCUUCGAAUUGAGCCACAUGCUCCACCGCUUGUGUGAGCCCCCGUCAAUUCCUUUGAGUUUUAGCCUUGCGACCGUACUCCCCAGGCGGUUCACUAAUCAUUUUUACUUCGACCCUGUUGGCGUCAGAGCCUCCAAGGUCUAGUGAACAUCGUUUACGGCGUGGACUAC